RNAcentral lists this ribosomal RNA (253 nucleotides) under uncultured bacterium. Its description in RNAcentral is "partial 16S ribosomal RNA". It matches the Rfam family "Bacterial small subunit ribosomal RNA", at positions 524 to 776 of the family's 1533-position model. The record is from RNAcentral.
UACGUAGGGUGCGAGCGUUACUCGGAAUUACUGGGCGUAAAGUGUGCGCAGGCGGCCGCGCAAGUCGAGUGUGAAAGCCCCGAGCUUAACUUGGGAAUUGCGCUCGAAACUACGUGGCUGGAGUGUGGCAGAGGAAGGUGGAAUUCCAGGUGUAGCGGUGAAAUGCGUAGAGAUCUGGAGGAACACCGAUGGCGAAGGCAGCCUUCUGGGCCAACACUGACGCUCAUGCACGAAAGCGUGGGGAGCAAACAGG